UACGAAGGGGGCUAGCGUUGUUCGGAAUUACUGGGCGUAAAGCGCGCGCAGGCGGCUAUCCAAGUCAGUGGUGAAAGCCCGGAGCUCAACUCCGGAACUGCCAUUGAAACUGUUUAGCUUGAGGAUGAGAGAGGUGAGUGGAAUUCCCAGUGUAGAGGUGAAAUUCGUAGAUAUUGGGAAGAACACCGGUGGCGAAGGCGGGUCUCUGGGCAGUAACUGACGCUGAGGAGCGAAAGCGUGGGGAGCGAACAGG
Molecule: ribosomal RNA, 253 nt
Filed under: uncultured bacterium
Lineage: Bacteria
Description: partial 16S ribosomal RNA
Rfam family: Bacterial small subunit ribosomal RNA
Source: RNAcentral